Molecule: ribosomal RNA, 268 nt
Filed under: uncultured bacterium
Lineage: Bacteria
Description: partial 16S ribosomal RNA
Rfam family: Bacterial small subunit ribosomal RNA
Source: RNAcentral
AUCCCUACGGGAGGCAGCAGUGAGGAAUAUUGGUCAAUGGUCGGGAGACUGAACCAGCCAAGCCGCGUGAGGGAUGAAGGUACAGAGUAUCGUAAACCUCUUUUGUCAGGGAACAAAGGCGGGGACGCGUCCCCGGAUGAGUGUACCUGAAGAAAAAGCAUCGGCUAACUCCGUGCCAGCAGCCGCGGUAAUACGUAGGUGGCGAGCGUUAUCCGGAAUGAUUGGGCGUAAAGGGUGCGCAGGCGGUCCUGCAAGUCUGGAGGGAAAC